CGGAAUGUGCGUCUAACGGCAAGACGAGCUGGCCACGGGCAAGCUGAUACAGGUUCGAAUCCUGGCUUUCCGGC
Molecule: transfer RNA, 74 nt
Filed under: Mycobacterium phage Bongo
Lineage: Duplodnaviria; Heunggongvirae; Uroviricota; Caudoviricetes; Vilmaviridae
Also listed under: 6 other names
Description: tRNA-Arg
Source: RNAcentral